CCCUUGCGCCAACACUGUGCCCUAGUUCAGCACUGCCGGAGCCACUCUUUUUCUUCAGUGUUGCCAUGCCGCCGGCAGAGUGGAGACAAGGGGCUCGGUCGGUGAAUACAACUCCGGUCAUCUUUGUGCGUGGGCGAUUCACAGCUUUGGGCAUAAACCAGUGCGGUUGAAUUGAGGACUUUGACG
Long non-coding RNA from Zingiber officinale, 186 nucleotides. RefSeq lists it as uncharacterized. The record is from RefSeq and is a predicted model, not a curated record. The transcript is spliced from 3 exons. NCBI's taxonomy places the organism in Eukaryota, Viridiplantae, Streptophyta, Magnoliopsida, Zingiberales, Zingiberaceae.